This 733-nucleotide ribosomal RNA is filed under the name Klebsiella pneumoniae. RNAcentral's name for it is "bacterial SSU rRNA". It matches the Rfam family "Bacterial small subunit ribosomal RNA", at positions 1 to 721 of the family's 1533-position model. Lineage: Bacteria; Pseudomonadati; Pseudomonadota; Gammaproteobacteria; Enterobacterales; Enterobacteriaceae. The record is from RNAcentral.
ACUUAAAUUGAAGAGUUUGAUCAUGGCUCAGAUUGAACGCUGGCGGCAGGCCUAACACAUGCAAGUCGAGCGGUAGCACAGAGAGCUUGCUCUCGGGUGACGAGCGGCGGACGGGUGAGUAAUGUCUGGGAAACUGCCUGAUGGAGGGGGAUAACUACUGGAAACGGUAGCUAAUACCGCAUAAUGUCGCAAGACCAAAGUGGGGGACCUUCGGGCCUCAUGCCAUCAGAUGUGCCCAGAUGGGAUUAGCUAGUAGGUGGGGUAACGGCUCACCUAGGCGACGAUCCCUAGCUGGUCUGAGAGGAUGACCAGCCACACUGGAACUGAGACACGGUCCAGACUCCUACGGGAGGCAGCAGUGGGGAAUAUUGCACAAUGGGCGCAAGCCUGAUGCAGCCAUGCCGCGUGUGUGAAGAAGGCCUUCGGGUUGUAAAGCACUUUCAGCGGGGAGGAAGGCGAUAAGGUUAAUAACCUUGUCGAUUGACGUUACCCGCAGAAGAAGCACCGGCUAACUCCGUGCCAGCAGCCGCGGUAAUACGGAGGGUGCAAGCGUUAAUCGGAAUUACUGGGCGUAAAGCGCACGCAGGCGGUCUGUCAAGUCGGAUGUGAAAUCCCCGGGCUCAACCUGGGAACUGCAUUCGAAACUGGCAGGCUAGAGUCUUGUAGAGGGGGGUAGAAUUCCAGGUGUAGCGGUGAAAUGCGUAGAGAUCUGGAGGAAUACCGGUGGCGAAGG